RNAcentral lists this unclassified non-coding RNA (379 nucleotides) under soil metagenome. Its description in RNAcentral is "partial contains 5.8S ribosomal RNA, internal transcribed spacer 2, and large subunit ribosomal RNA". The stretch from base 1 to 120 matches the Rfam family "5.8S ribosomal RNA", at positions 35 to 154 of the family's 154-position model. The record is from RNAcentral.
GAUGAAGAACGUAGCGAAAUGUGAUACGUAAUGUGAAUUGCAGAAUUCAGUGAAUCAUCGAAUCUUUGAACGCACAUUGCACUCCUUGGUAUUCCGAGGAGUAUGCCUGUUUCAGUAUCAUGAGCACUCUCACAUCUAACCUUUGGGUUAAAAUGUGGAAUUGGGAUGCGCCGGUUAUUAUAACGGCCCUCCUAAAAUUCAGUUCUUGGCUGCUUCCUACUACAGCAGUUUGGCCUAAUAGUUUUGAGUCUUCGAUUCAAAUCUUUGGCUAACAUUUGCUUCAGGAUGUCAGUCUUGAUAUACAGAAAUCUCAUUCAAACUUUGAUCUGAAAUCAGGUAGGGCUACCCGCUGAACUUAAGCAUAUCAAUAAGCGGAGGA